CCUGCCCUACGGGGGGCAGCAGUGGGGAAUAUUGCGCAAUGGGGGAAACCCUGGCGCAGCAACGCCGCGUGCGGGAUGAAGGCCUUCGGGUUGUAAACCUCUUUCAGCAGGGAAGAUCCAAGACGGUACCUGCAGAAGAAGCCCCGGCUAACUACGUGCCAGCAGCCGCGGUAAUACGUAGGGGGCAAGCGUUAUCCGGAUUCAUUGGGCGUAAAGCGCGCGCAGGCGGGUUGCUAAGCGGGAACUCUAAUCUCAGGGCUCAACCUUGAGCCGGGUCCCGAACCGGCAGC
This 290-nucleotide ribosomal RNA is filed under the name uncultured bacterium. RNAcentral's name for it is "partial 16S ribosomal RNA". It matches the Rfam family "Bacterial small subunit ribosomal RNA", at positions 333 to 640 of the family's 1533-position model. The record is from RNAcentral.